CCUAGGCCAGGACCAUUUAUCGUCUGGUCCCUUUGAUCCUACUCUAAGAGAAAGCCCUAGGUUCCCAGGCAGCAGUGUCAGCUUGGGCCCUGUGUCCUCAGACAGUUUGGGUACCCCUUCUCCCAGGGACAGUGGCUGAGUGAACAGCUCUUGGCCUUUUGCAGGGGAGCAGGGGACCACCGCCGUUCAUGCCGUCUUGGGGACGAGCCUUGCUCCCUGCCACCCGGCCUCGCCUUCCAUCGUCUGAAACCGGCUCAGGUCUGGAGGGAGUUCUCGGCGUGUGCUGUGAUGCUGCCCUCAGCCUCCCGGGCACCCACUCUCGGCUUCUGGUUGACAGGUCGAGCAGGACCCUGCCUGACUGCAGUCUUACCUGGAGGAACGUCACAUUCUAGUCCCUGUCUCAGUGGCUCUCCCAGGCCGGCCCCCAGGGGCUGCCCAGCACAGUGAGUGCCCUCCUGGCCUCCACUGCUUCCUGGUCCUGUCGUCCCCACCCCUCUCUCUAUCAAAGCUUCUAAGGACCGUCCUAGAAUUCAUGAACUCCAUAGGGUGUUAAGUCACAUGCCAUGUGUACACACCAUCCCUGGUCAACUUGGCUUCCCACUGCCCUUGAUCCUGUCCCUCAGACUCCAGUCCCCAGUGCGGUCCCGGCCAGCUGGAUGGGCAUGCAUAGAGGUCUGCAGGCCCUGCUCAGUGGGUUAUGGUAUUGGUCUAGUGGCCGGGAGGGAGGCCAGGCGCGUGGGCCUCAGGAGGGUGCCUGUUGUCUUACAUGACAAGAGACUCUGCACCUGCUUAAGCCAGGUGUCAGGGAGGAUGGCACCAGAGCGCCAGCUUACUAGGAAAGGGUCACUGCAGGCCCACAGGGUACAGGAGGAUCUAGGGAGUCAAGUUUCUCUGUUUUUUCAAUUUUGUAACAUUCUGUUAUUAAUUAUUACUAAUGUGUAUUAUGUGUCAUGACCACAUCACUGUACUUGGCUUUUCCAUCCUGGUAAACUUUGGACUGUUAAGAACA
RNAcentral lists this long non-coding RNA (1009 nucleotides) under Marmota monax (woodchuck). The record is from RNAcentral. Lineage: Eukaryota; Metazoa; Chordata; Mammalia; Rodentia; Sciuridae.